RNAcentral lists this long non-coding RNA (2175 nucleotides) under Homo sapiens (human). Its description in RNAcentral is "HSALNT0130611". Lineage: Eukaryota; Metazoa; Chordata; Mammalia; Primates; Hominidae. The record is from RNAcentral.
GUUUCAUGCAAAGAUUUUCACUAUUUAGAUUCAUUGCCUUACGGUCAUUAAUAGUGGUGGAAACUACUGCAUGUGUUCAGCAGGGUCCUUUUCUUCUGAACAUCCGGGAGGACACUGCCCACACUCCGUUGCAUCUCGCUGAGCCUCACGGCAUGUUAUGCCUCAGUUCAGGCCAACGGAAUAUGGGCUAAAGUGAUGAAUGUCAAUGCCAGGCUAUCUGUAGCAUGACCACACUCUCUCCUCUGCCCACACACCUGGCUGUGAAGGAUCCCGAGGUGUGUGACCACAGGAGAACUACCUCACUAUCUGUGGAGAAUUGGCUCCAGAACCCCCUGUGGAUACCGAUUCCUGCAGCAGGCCCUGCAGAACCCAGAGAUGCAAAAAGAUGGCCCUCUGACACAUUCUUUGGUGAAGCUAUUGAGAUGUAGGGAGCGUUGGCUAAAAAAGAAAUCUGUGAUUAUCUGGAAUAAUAUGUUAACUAAUUAUGUGACCUCAAACAAAUUUUCACUCUAAGUACUUGCGGCCUCAUCUAAAAUGGGGACAGGAAUAUCUGUCCAAUUUUCUCUUACAGGUUGUUGGGAGAACUAAAACAAGAGAAGCAAUUAGAGGUGAUUUUGCCUGGCAGCUCAUCUGAGAAUUUUUUAAAAAAUGUAGAUACCUGAGUUUUCCUGAAUGACCAAGCAGAGCAGCUUCUCAGGGGUGAGACCCCAGUGUGUGCAUUUUUAAUGCUUGAUCGGUGAUUUUUCAAGAACAACAAACUUUGAAAACCACUAUUGUAAAAAUUAAUUCACUUUAAAAAGUGAAAGGAACAAAUAACAAUGUCUAUACUCACAGACGUUGAGUGAAUGUGGGAUUCUUUUAUAAGAAGCCCAAAGAUACAUCGACAUUCAUGUGAGAGUAAAGUGCUUGCUGAAUAGACAAAUGUUAAUGGUGUUUCCUCUGCAGUCAUCUGGUCCCUAUCCCAACACUGGGGCACCACUCACAGUCCUCCCCAUGGAAGUCACACAGAAGGGUGCUGUCCAGGUGGGUGCAGGCAGUGGCCCUGUGUCUCUGUGACCCAUAGCAUGACUAGGCUCUGUACACAGCCACCUUCUAAACAACCAGUAGUUUGGGAAGAGCUGAAUAUCUUCUCAGCGGAGCAGCUGUAGGAGACAAAAACUCAGCCCCCUUUCAAGGGGAGGUAGCUUCUCAUCUAAAAAAGUCCAAGCUGCUAUAUCACUCUUACCUGAGCCAAAUACCCAGCAGCACCAACCAGGGCAAUUCAAGAUUUCCUCACCUAUAUGUGGGGUGACCAUUAAUAAUUACAGCAAACAAUUAGUUAUCGAGGGCUUCCUGCGUGCAGAUAGUCUUUUAAGUGCUCCCUGUAGAUUAGCUUAUUGCAUUUUCUUGGUAACCUUAUGAUGCAAAUACAACCAUAGCCUCGGUUUUCUGGUGAGGAGAGGAAGCAGAGCACAGAUAGGUAAAAUAACUUAGGCAGAGACCCACCAGCUGUCCGUGCAGAGCUCAGCUUUCAACUCGGGCCACGUGGCCUCAGAGCCUACCCUAGUGAUCGAAUUACACAAUCCUUUGCUUUGCUGGUGGAAGAGACCUCCAUUUGUUGAGCCCUUUUUGUGAUUUCAAAGGCAGCUGAAUUUAGCAGUUGAGCACACCUGUGGACAUUCAGAAAGAAUCUACAAAGAACCAUGGAUAACAGAACCCAGAGUGAAAUCUAUUUCUGCCUCUGGACACUUAAUUUCACCUCUUGCUUGAACAAAGGCCAUCUCAAUGCGAGCAGAUAGGACUGAUUCUGGCCCUCCCUAGACAUAAUAAAAACCUUGAACCCCAACAUCUUGGGGCCCACCAAGCACCAAGGGAAAACAUCUGUGAUGUGAGCCCACUGUUGGUUACUGUUUAUCUGUUCUCAACAAUGCCACGGAUUAUUAUAGGGCCAAGGUCGGGGCAGAUGCUGCUACCUCGUAUGUGCCAGUUCCCCGUAACUGUACCUGUCAGCACCCCUUGGCACUAACCUAUCAGUAAGGUCUUCAAUGAACAGGCUCCACUGAGGUUUGGGUUCCUCCAGCCCUGCAGCUGCUCAUAUUCAAUCCAGCAACAGCCUCACCAAGACUCCAGAAGCUUCAGCCCGCCUGACCCCAUUGAGAUAAGGUGAGCAGGAAAAAAGUCCCUCACGGAGCUCAG